CGGACGGGUGAGUACCACGUGGGUACCUCCCCCUCCGGGUGAGGGAAUACCACCGAGAAAUCGGUGACAAUACCGCAUACGCUCGGGCAACCGAGCAAAGUCUUGGAAGAGACGCCUGGGGAUGGGCCUGCGCCUGAUUAGCUAGUUGGUGGGGUAAAAGCCUACCAAGGCUGCGAUCAGUAGCUGGUCUGAGAGGAUGAUCAGCCACACUGGGAUUGAGAACGGCCCAG
This 230-nucleotide ribosomal RNA is filed under the name uncultured bacterium. RNAcentral's name for it is "partial 16S ribosomal RNA". It matches the Rfam family "Bacterial small subunit ribosomal RNA", at positions 99 to 334 of the family's 1533-position model. The record is from RNAcentral.